GAUGAACGCUAGCUACAGGCUUAACACAUGCAAGUCGCGGGGCAGCAUGGGGGUUGCUUGCAAUCCCCGAUGGCGACCGGCGCACGGGUGAGUAACGCGUAUCCAACCUGCCCUUCACCACGGGAUAACCCGGCGAAAGUCGGACUAAUACCGUAUGUUGUCCAUUGACGGCAUCCGAUUGGACGAAAGGUUUGGCGGUGAAGGAUGGGGAUGCGUCCGAUUAGCUGGACGGCGGGGUGACGGCCCACCGUGGCGACGAUCGGUAGGGGUUCUGAGAGGAAGGUCCCCCACACUGGAACUGAGACACGGUCCAGACUCCUACGGGAGGCAGCAGUGAGGAAUAUUGGUCAAUGGGCGUAAGCCUGAACCAGCCAAGUAGCGUGCAGGAUGACGGCCCUAUGGGUGGUAAACUGCUUUUAUGCGGGGAUAAAGUGGCCCACGUGUGGGUUUUUGCAGGUACCGCAUGAAUAAGGACCGGCUAAUUCCGUG
This 489-nucleotide ribosomal RNA is filed under the name uncultured bacterium. Its description in RNAcentral is "partial 16S ribosomal RNA". It matches the Rfam family "Bacterial small subunit ribosomal RNA", at positions 28 to 507 of the family's 1533-position model. The record is from RNAcentral.